This 198-nucleotide ribosomal RNA is filed under the name Rostanga calumus. Its description in RNAcentral is "partial 18S ribosomal RNA". It matches the Rfam family "Eukaryotic small subunit ribosomal RNA", at positions 1591 to 1782 of the family's 1831-position model. Lineage: Eukaryota; Metazoa; Mollusca; Gastropoda; Nudibranchia; Dorididae. The record is from RNAcentral.
UAUUCCCCGUGAACGAGGAAUUCCCAGUAAGCGCGGGUCAUAAGCCCACGUUGAUUACGUCCCUGCCCUUUGUACACACCGCCCGUCGCUACUAUCGAUUGAGCGGUUCAGUGAGGGCAUCGGAUCGGUCGCGGCCUGGGAUUCGCGCCCCGGCGCCCGCGCGCCGAGAAGACGCUCGAACUCGAUCGCUGGAGAAAG